UACGUAGGGACCGAGCGUUGUCCGGAUUCAUUGGGCGUAAAGAGCUCGUAGGCGGCUGCUCAAGUCGAAUGUGAAAACUCGAGGCUCAACCUCGAGCCUGCAUUCGAUACUGGGCGGCUAGAGUCUGGUAGGGGGAUCUGGAAUUCCUGGUGUAGCGGUGGAAUGCGCAGAUAUCAGGAGGAACACCAGUGGCGAAGGCGAUCCUCUGGUCCAUUAUUGACGCUAAAGCACGAAAGCGUGGGGAGCAAACAGG
This 253-nucleotide ribosomal RNA is filed under the name uncultured bacterium. RNAcentral describes it as "partial 16S ribosomal RNA". It matches the Rfam family "Bacterial small subunit ribosomal RNA", at positions 524 to 776 of the family's 1533-position model. The record is from RNAcentral.